UGAAAAGCCCGCUCGCCGGAAGACCAAGGGUUCCUGUCCAACGUUAAUCGGGGCAGGGUGAGUCGACCCCUAAGGCGAGGCCGAAAGGCGUAGUCGAUGGGAAACGGGUUAAUAUUCCCGUACUUGGUGUUACUGCGAAGGGGGGACGGAGAAGGCUAUGUUGGCCGGGCGACGGUUGUCCCGGUUUAAGCGUGUAGGUGUGUGUUCCAGGUA
Molecule: ribosomal RNA, 213 nt
Filed under: Salmonella enterica subsp. enterica serovar Enteritidis
Lineage: Bacteria; Pseudomonadati; Pseudomonadota; Gammaproteobacteria; Enterobacterales; Enterobacteriaceae
Description: partial 23S ribosomal RNA
Rfam family: Bacterial large subunit ribosomal RNA
Source: RNAcentral